Molecule: long non-coding RNA, 526 nt
Filed under: Phascolarctos cinereus (koala)
Lineage: Eukaryota; Metazoa; Chordata; Mammalia; Diprotodontia; Phascolarctidae
Description: lncRNA (ENSPCIG00000023898.2)
Source: RNAcentral
CGAGAACCCGGGAACCAGGCGGCCACAACAAAGGUUGAAGGUGAGGAAAGAAGGAAAAAUUUCUGGCUGAUCCUGCCUCUGAAAUCACCAAAUAUAGUGAAGUAUGAGAUCAGAUACAGUUUCCCUGUGUGCACCUACCUCCACUCAGCAUUACUGGCAAAUGAUCAUCCAAUGUUUUUGCCUCCUUCUUGAUUCCUUUCCAAGUCAACCUCAAGAGCUGUGUAUGACUCAUCCCCUUCUUUGACUGUUUGAGAGGUCCACAACCAAAUGAACUCUGGACAAGCCCAAACUCUUAUUCUGGGAAUGAAACAUCUGACAUUAGCUCCAACCUCAGAUAAAUGACAUAGACAAAAGAUCUAAGUUGAACCAGGUAUUCGUUUUACUGUAUGUAAUGUAGCAAACUAAAAGUGUACUAAAUUAUUGGCUUCUCAUGAGCAGGGACCAUGCUUUUCCCCCCUCCACACAGAGGUAAAGCAUAAAAUGGGCCUUCAAUAAAUAUGUAUUGAUUGAUUGACUGACUGGUAAC